RNA transcript from Frieseomelitta varia, 2892 nucleotides. It is a transcript of the gene named allatostatin-A receptor-like, with no coding region annotated. The record is from RefSeq and is a predicted model, not a curated record. NCBI's taxonomy places the organism in Eukaryota, Metazoa, Arthropoda, Insecta, Hymenoptera, Apidae. The transcript is spliced from 7 exons.
GACGAGGAUUUUCAAAAAAAAAAAAAAAAAAAAAAAAAAUUACGAUAGAGUAUCGAAAUUCCGAAGAUAGAUUUGCAAAUGAUAGAAUAUUAAGUUCGAGUUUCGCGUGUUUUCGAGUGUUUUCAUCCGCUGUACAUCAUGACACCGGAAGCGGAGGUGCGUCAACGAUAUUUACCAGGGACGUGCUUGGCAAACGAGUGUUGCAGCAAUUAGCAGCCGUUGGACGACCAAUCAUGAAUCGAUCUAUCUGCAUCGGUUACGCCUUAUCACCGUUAAUCCGAUAAAAGGAAGGGCGGACGAUCGUUAAACCCUGUCGAUAUUGGCGCGCGAGAUCGACGGCUGGUGAAAAGGAAAUCGUUGCACCUCGGCGCACAAGUCGCGACGAACUUUUUGGGAAAUUAACAUGCCAGACACGUGACAUCGAACGAAUAGCUUUUGUAUUGUACAAUAUUCGAGAACGAAUUCUAGAGAUACGGCGCACGAAGAUUUUUAACUGCUAUAUUUACUAUAUGUACGUUUGUGAUACGCAACUUUAUGCCAAGAAUGAAGCUGAAGCAUCGGAGGAAAUUGAAUUGAAACACGUCGAAACGAAUGUUCGCGAUUAGAAACUGUGAGAGGAACGUUCCGAGUUUUUAAACGAUCUCUGGUGGUUACGCAUGAUGCUUCAAGAGAUGGAGAUCGCUUUCGACAGAAUGGUCAAAAAUUUUACAAACACCUCGCACAACAACGAAACCCAGCGAUUCAUCGACGAUUUCGAUUAUAGCUUCGAUCGGCAACAAGUGGAGAAAAUAGUGGUGGUCGUGGUGCCGAUAUUUUUUGGCAUGAUCGGUAUACUCGGGCUCGUUGGGAAUUCACUGGUCGUCAUCGUGGUCGCCGCGAAUCCCGGCAUGAGAUCGACCACCAACAUCCUGAUUAUCAAUCUGGCCGUGGCGGACCUAUUGUUCGUCAUUUUUUGUAUACCAUUCACCGCCACUGAUUUCGUGCUACCGUUCUGGCCGUUUGGCAACUUUUGGUGCAAGAUGGUUCAGUAUCUCAUCAUCGUCACUGCCUACGCCAGUGUUUACACUUUAGUCCUCAUGAGCCUCGACAGAUACUUGGCAGUGGUUCAUCCCAUUUCCUCGAUGUCGUGGAGAACCGAGAACCACGCAAUCAUCGCCAUCUGCAUCGCCUGGGCGUUGAUUUUCGCGAUAUCAACUCCUGCAUUCUUCGUCCACGGCGAGUUUCAGGACAUGGACGACUCAUCGUCGGAGAAUCUGACGGCCUGCCGGAUCUUGCCGCAGUACAAUUGGCCGUUGUUCCAGAUGUCGUUCUUCCUGAUGAGCUAUCUGCUGCCGCUGAUGCUGAUAUGCUUCUUUUACAUUUGCAUGCUCAUCAGGCUCUGGCGCACGGACCGCGUCAGCGCCGAAAGCCGCCGCGGAAGGAAACGAGUCACCAGGCUGGUCUUCGUCGUCGUUGGCGUCUUCGCCUUCUGUUGGUGCCCUAUACAGGUGAUCCUGGUGACGAAAUCGUUGGACGUGUACCCAUUGACAUCAGCGACGAUAAUGGUGCAGAUAGCGAGUCAUAUUCUGGCGUACACCAACAGCUGCGUCAAUCCUAUUCUUUACGCUUUCCUCAGUGACAGCUUUCGAAAGGCUUUUCGGAAAAUUAUUUACUGCAGACCCCGACCAGAUCAAAACAGACAACUGGGACCAUUGACGAAAACCACGAGAGCUGCCAGCACCGGUGACAUCCUUUAGUAGUGAAGCUGUGCUCGGCAGAAACGUGUGACGAACGAAAUUAGCCCUAUUCUCCGAGAGUCGAAUCAUCUCGAAUUACUUGCAGCUUUCCAAACGUUCUAAAUCUUCAUCUGCUAGAGCGUCUUUGUUUAGAGCAAAUAGAAUUCGGGCGGAGAGUGAAUGCCGUAAGGGUAAACGAAUUCACGUGGAAUUAAGGUUGAACACGGAGAACUGGGGUGACGCUUAAUGGAAAGUACUUGUACUUAGCUCGCCCGUAAAGUCACCGACGCCUCGAUGCCGGAUUCGUCCACACUAACAACUGCUAAUUGCGCCGAUUUCACGUUGUGAAAUGAAAGGGUGUCGGUGGUAUCCGGUGGUACUCGAUGUCACACGCGCCGUGUGAACUCGAGCGUUUAGCGUCCGUGUCGUUUGAGCGUGACGACCGUAUCACGGGACAAUUGCAACAGUGACGUAUCUUUAAUCUUCCUAAUUAACUCGACGACCGCGUUGGUCGCGUGACGUUGCUCGAUUUUUAGAGCGGCUCUACCGUUUGUCCAGUGUUUCCGUGGUUUCGUAAUCGAGCGUGUCUCGUUUUUUUUUUUUUUUUUCUUUUUUCACCUCCGUGUCUGCUGAAGGUAAUGAAACCUAUUUUAUACAAUACAGCCUGCACGGCGAACGUGAACCCUGUAUGUACAUAGUAAGGUGGUCGUGAGAGUACGUAAUAAAAAAAAAAAUAAGUGAUAACGUUAAAGUUGCUCGACGAUGUUGGUUACUAAUCUAGAAUAGGUUUAGAAAAGGGUACAGCUUGUUGUUUGUCCUGUGUAAAGAGAUAUUGAAGUGGGAAGAAACGAAAAGAGCUUAAUGACGCCGUUGAUCGAGAGAUGAUCGUUUAAAUCGUUUAUUGGAUUCCUGUGUAACUAGCUUCGGCGAAGGUUCGCGGAGUCGCGGCAGAUGAGCCCCUGCCCGUCCGCGAGUCAGCCGAAGUCGAGAAAAUUGCGAUACGCACCUCGAAAGUAAUUUUAAUCGACGUUGUGAUGAUUUUCAUUUCUUUUUCGCCGGUAGAUUCUAAGAGCCGUAGGUUUAAGGAUUAUCCUACGUGAUUUGAUGGACAAUUGUUCUGUGGCACAAACUGUAAAUUACGUGUAAUACAAUAAUAAAGCCGCUGAUGUAAUACAAA